Long non-coding RNA from Oncorhynchus keta (chum salmon), 101 nucleotides. RefSeq lists it as uncharacterized. NCBI's taxonomy places the organism in Eukaryota, Metazoa, Chordata, Actinopteri, Salmoniformes, Salmonidae. The record is from RefSeq and is a predicted model, not a curated record. The transcript has 3 exons.
AUUCCACUAACAGGUUAUUCCACUAACAGGUUAUUCUACUAACAGGUUAUUCCACUAACAGGUUAUUCUACUAACAGGUUAUUCUACUAACAGGUUAUUCC